This is a long non-coding RNA of Equus caballus (horse), 2661 nucleotides long. RefSeq lists it as uncharacterized. The record is from RefSeq and is a predicted model, not a curated record. NCBI's taxonomy places the organism in Eukaryota, Metazoa, Chordata, Mammalia, Perissodactyla, Equidae.
UUCCCAGGACCGUCGAGGACUUGCUGACACUUUGAGAGUUCCUAAGGAGGGCUACAAUGCAAAACGGGGAGAGGUGCUCAUUAGGAUGCCCUAGGAAGCCCAGCAAUCUGACUGCGUUUCCCCAUCUAUCUACUUUCCCACUCUCCUAGAAGACAGCUCUAUACCCUCUCCUCUCUCAAAUCUCCACACUUCCUUCUUUAUACUCACACUCAGCUGAUUUCUUUCUGUGCCUCCUCAUUGACUGAGAAAAUAGAAGCAGCCAGAAGCUAAUGCCCUCCAUCUCCUACCACAUCUACCCACCUUCCUGCAUCUGUGCCCAUCAGCUCUGCCUCCCUCCUGUGACAUGGGAAACAGAUAGGGAUCUUAACCAAGGCCAAUCGUUCCAUCUGGGCUCUGGGUCCCACCCACUCUCACCAAUUACAACAGAAAUUCUCCCCUUUCCUUCCUAUAUCACCAUUCUUUUUCAUUCAUUACUGUCUUUUCCAUCAAUGAAUAAAAAUAUUGCUAUAAAAAAUCUUAAAAGUCUGCUUGUCACUCUUUGCUGGUUCCUCCUCAUCCUCGACUCUCAAUACUGGAGUGCUCUGGGGCCUCAUUCUCUAUCCUCAUUUCUUUUCUACCUCCUCACUCCCUUGGGAAUUUUAUCCAGGCACCUGGCUCUUAUUCCUCUCUAUACAUUGACAAUGCUGAAAUGUAUUUCUGCAGCCCAGACUUCUCUGUUGAACGCCAUACUCAUACAUACAACUGCCUAUCAACAGCUUGACAUGGAUAUUUAAAAGCCACAUCAAUAUUUUUUUUAAAAACUAUUUUGAGAUAAUUACAGGCUCAUAAGACAUUGCAAAAUACUACAGAGAGGUCCUAUGUACCCAUCACCCAAUGGUGACAUCUUACAAAAAGUCAUAUCAAUUUUACUAUGUCAAAAAACAAACUCAUGAUCCUACCCCUAAAAGCUGCUCCUUCCCAAUCUUAGUAAAUGGAAACUCCCCCUUUAUAGCUGUUCAGACCAACAAUCUUGUUACCAUCCUGGAUUAUUAGUUUUUUCUCACAUCCCACACCAAAUCCAUCAGCAAAUCCCUUUGGACCUAUCCAGAUAAAUCCAGAAUUUAACCAUUUCUCACCAUUUUCACUGAUACUACUCUAAUCCAAACCAUCCUUAUCUUUUACUUGGAAAACUGGACUUGCUUUCUAAGUGGUCUCAUUGCUUCUACCAUUAUGUCCUACAGUAUGUUCAAUACAGCCACAAGGUGAUCCUGUUAAAAUGCCAGAUCCAAUCAAAACUCUCCAAUGGCUUCUCAUUCAUACAAGCUGGCCCUGUGUCUCCUAUCACCUCUUUGACCAGAUCUCGUUUCCCAUUGCUCUCCUCUCUCAUUCCACUCCAGCCACACUGGCCUCCUUGCUGUUCCUCAAACAGUCCCAGCACGUUCCCUGUGAGGACUUUCACCUCCUAAUCCAUCUUACCUUGGACAACCAAGUAGCUUGUUGCUGACUUACUUCCUUAAGGUCUUUGCUCAGAUGUUACUUUCUCAGUGAGGUCUUCUUUGACCAUCUUACUUUAAAUUGCAACAGUCCUGCUGUCCUGCACUCCUGAGUCCUUCCCAGGUUUAUUUUUCACUUGUAUUCAUUACCAUUUCACGUGUCUGAACUUAAUCAUUUUUGUUUAUUGUCUAGUUUCCACCUUUCCCUAGUGUCUGGUCCCCAAGGUCAGAGUUGUUUGUCUAUUCUGCUUAGUGCUAUAUACCUAGAACUGAGAACAAUUUCUGAUAUGUAGCAGGCACUGAUCGUGAUUUUCCACUGGUAUAUAACAAAUUACCCAAAUUCAGAAGCUUCAAACAUUUAUUAUCUCAUAGUUUCUGUGAAUCAUAUAUCUGGGUGUGGCUUAGGUGGUGCCUUUGGAUUAAGCUCUCUCAUGAGGUAACAAUCAAACCACUGGCCAAGAUUGUGGUUUCAUCUGAUGACUUGGUUGGGUGGCAGGAGGAGAUCCUCUUCCAGACUUGCUCACAUGGUUGUUAGCAGCCUUGGUCUCUUGCCAUGUGGGGCUCUUCACAACAUGGCAGCUAUGGAAACCAAGAGUGAGUGACCCGAGAGAGAGAGAGAGAGAAAGCCCAAGAACGACGCCCUAGGCUUCUUGUAAUCUAAUUUUAUAGGAUAUGCUUAUCAAACUAAACUCUCACCUUGGAAAAAAGAAGAAAACAAUUCCUUAAAGGCAAAGACAUUCAAGUACAGGAAUGGAAGGAUAAUGUUGACAACUAUAAUAACACACACAGGCUAGCUGAAAGUCAGUGGUAAACAUUUGUGGGUCAGGCCCAGACUCCGGUUUGAGAAAAGCACAUUUGUCCAACACAUUCACGUGGCUACUGAGCAUCUGAAAUGUCACUCGUCUGAAACUGAUAUAUGCUAAAACUCCAAAUUCCACAUGUGGUUCCCAUUCUAGUUCCACUGGCAGCAGUGAUCUAGAAGCCACUUCUCCAGGUCCCAUGAACAGAAAUCAAGAUGGGAGGCAGCCGUUCUGAGAAGGCACAUACGCUCUGCAGACCUAACUGUGAGUUUGGCAGGGUUGUCUGAAGAUCUGGCACAGGUUGUAGCACGAGGAAAGCUGAUGUGGAGAAUCAAGCCACAUUCGCCACCCCAAUUCUACCAACAAUAAAGCUGGUAUUUUGAUUUCCA